GGACAGGUGUCCGAGUGGUUUAAGGAGCAAGCCUGGAAAGUUUGUAAACGGGUAACCGUUUCGCGGGUUCGAAUCCCGCCCUGUCCGCCA
This 90-nucleotide transfer RNA is filed under the name Nevskiaceae bacterium. RNAcentral describes it as "Sinobacteraceae bacterium tRNA-Ser". It matches the Rfam family "tRNA". From Rfam's summary of the family: Transfer RNA (tRNA) molecules are approximately 80 nucleotides in length. Their secondary structure includes four short double-helical elements and three loops (D, anti-codon, and T loops). The record is from RNAcentral. RNAcentral also lists the same sequence under 2 other names. Lineage: Bacteria; Pseudomonadati; Pseudomonadota; Gammaproteobacteria; Nevskiales; Nevskiaceae.